UUUAAGUUUCUCACAUGUAUUAGUAUAUUUAAUUUGCACAAUAACCAUAAGAAGUAGGUGUCAUUAAUACUCAAACAUUAGAUGAGGAAAGUAAAUCAAAGGGUUAAUAAAUAACUUGCCCAAAGUCAUACGGCCAUAGGGUGAUUUGGCUCCAGAAUCUAUUACUUACACAUUACUCCUGGGCUUUUGGAAUGAGAAACUGAGGACGGUGUUGCCAUAAACUGGAAUAGGGAACAUUGGAGAAGCAGUGAAUCUGGGCUAAGGCGCAAGAUGACUUACGGACAGGUUGAAUUUAAGGUACCUCUGAGAUACGCAACUAGGGAAGACAGUCCUGGCAUUCUCAAGUUGAAUAUAAACAGAAGAUAUCAUUUUGGGACUUAUCAAAGUAUAGAUGAUAAUGACAGCCAUGGGAUGCAUGAAAGCAUUCAGGAUUACAGUAUAGAGUAAAAAAAAGAAAGCCUAUAUGAAGUACAGGAAGGGGUGUUGGCCUCAUUGUCUAAGGAGGAAAUGCUAGGGUAGUAGAACAAUGGGAUUAUGCUGUCACAAAAACCAAAGGAAAAACAUAAUUUCUUAAAUUGUCGUCUGCCACUGAAUCUGGCUAUAAAACCUUAUCUUGCACUAAAAGGAUUUGUAGCUUUUCAGCUGAGAAUGGAUUCAGGAUACUGAAUCAACACAAGAAAAGAGAGAAACGGGAGAUGAAGAAAACUCAGCUACAUUUCCUAUAGGAAGGAGAGAUUUUAACACGCUCAGAUAUACGCUGGGAACAGUCUACCAACAUUGUUGGCAAGUCUGAUACCUGUUAGUUCACAUCACCUUUUCAGAAAAAAGAAAGGCAUUUAACUGCCAAUGGGAGGAGAAGCCCAUAAUGUUAAUAACUUGUGUAUUAUGUUAAUUGUCUGUUUUAAAAGAAAGUAGUGUUAAGAUAUGCUUUUUCUGUGCAUUAAACUUUGCGAAAAUUCUGCAUAAUUAUGACUUAAUAGUAUUUUUGAACAAUGCUUAACAUACUAACCUUACAUACACUCUAGACCAAAAUAAGAAAGCAUCUUAAUUUACACCUUGAUCUCUCAAAAAUUAAUCAUGUCUUUGGUGAAUGGUUUUAUAUAUACAUAUACCUAAAGCAUAUAAGACUUUGGCACCUGUGUUCUGUAAAGAGAAGGUUGAUUUGUUUUUUAGCUGUCGUAUUUGGAGUGGAACUAUAAUACAAAAGUAUAGUAUUCUUUUUUUUUUUUUGAGAUGGAGUCUCGCUCUGUCACCCAGGCCUGGAAUGCAAUGGCGCUAUCUUGGCUCACUGAAACAUCCGCCCCCUUGGCUCAAGCAGUUCCCUGUGUCAGUCUCCUGAGUAGCUGGGAUUACAGGUGCCCACCACCAUGCUCAGCUAGUUUUUGUAUUUUUAGUAGAGGUGAGUUUCACCAUCUUGGCCAGGCUGGUCUUGAACUCCCGACCUUGUGAUCUACCCACCUCGGCUUCCCAAAGUGCUGGGAUUACAGACGUGCACCACUGAGUCCAGCCUAUAUUCUUGUUUAUCAAUUCAAAGAUGCUCUGCACUGUUUUUGAAUCUUUAAAAAUAACUUAGAUGCAAAUUUAUUGCAGAAAAAAACAACUUUCAGGUAAGAGGUGUUCUCCAGGGUGGAAGAACUACUUGGCAUGUAAGAAAUAGUGGUCCUAAUGCAUAUUGUGACUGUUUGCAUAGAUUUCUGUUUGUAAAAUCAUCAGUUUUACUUUUCAGAUGAUUUGUAAGAAUCAUUUAAAUUUUCAUUGAAAUAAAUGAGAAGUCAUACUGUCACUUAAAAAAAAAAAAGAAAGGGAGACCUUUGUUAAGGAGAGUGCAGUCAACCAGUAAAUUGCAGGUUCUCAGAACGUUUACUGACGUACUAAUUAUUAAUUCCCUUAUACUCUAACAUCUGUAUAUUUUUACCAGUGUUCUCAGACCACUUCUACCAAAACGUAAAUCUGUGAUUGUGAUCUCUGAAAGUCAGUGCUUUUAUCUACUCAAUAACUGAUCUGAUAAUGUCAAUUUUUGAAAACGGAUAGUUACAACUCAGGGCUUUGAGAAUGUAAAGAGACCACCUUUGCAUGUUGGGAAACGGUACGAUUUCACGUUGUCAGUGCAGUUCCCUUCUCGGGGGAAAGAAGCGUGAAACUGUCAGGAAGACAGGAUGAAGUGAUUUGCCUAAGGCCAUAUUGUCAAACAAGGAAUUCAUAUUCACCUUUCUGGAAUUCUUAGGAUAAUGAUUACAAGUGUUCAAUUGUUAAAAAUUGGCAGAUAAAAUUGUAUGUAUUUACCAUGUACAACACAAAAUUUUGAGGUAUGUAUUCUGGAAUGACUAAAUCCAGUUAACAUAGGCAUUGUCUCACAUAGUUACUUUUGUGGUGAGAACAGUUAACAUUCACUCUCAACAUUUUCCAAGAAUACAAUAUAUUACUAAAAACACUCACCAUGCUGUAAAACAGAUCUCUUGAAGUAUUCCUCCUAUAUAAUUGAAAUUUUGUAUCCUUGGACCAAAAUCUCCUCACUCUCCUCACUCCUCAAGCAUCCCUACCCUUGGAAACCACAGUUCUCCUUUCUCUACUUCUAUGAUAUCAGCUUUCAAGAGGAGACCUUGUGGCAUUUGUCUCUCUGUUCCCAGCUUAUUUCACUUAACGUAACAUCCUCUAUGUUCAUCCACGUGCAAACCCCUAAGUUCAUGUCCUUUUUUAAGGUUUAAUAGUUUUCUAUUGUGUACAUGUGCCACAAUUUAUUUGCCCAUCCACUUCUUGAUGGAUGCUUUAGUUGUUUCUUUCUGUACCUGAGCUAUUGGGGACAAUGCUCCAGUGAACAUCAGAGCACAGAUAUUUUUACAGGGUGGUGAUUUCUUUUCCUUUGGAUAUAUAAACCCAGAAGAGAAAGUGCUUGGUCAUAUGUUCUUUUCUUUUCUUUUCUUUUCUUUUCUUUUCUUUUCUUUUCUUUUCUUUU
Long non-coding RNA from Cercocebus atys (sooty mangabey), 2953 nucleotides. RefSeq lists it as uncharacterized. Lineage: Eukaryota; Metazoa; Chordata; Mammalia; Primates; Cercopithecidae. The transcript has 4 exons. The record is from RefSeq and is a predicted model, not a curated record.